CAGCCGCCGCGGUAAUACGAAGGGGGCUAGCGUUGUUCGGAAUUACUGGGCGUAAAGCGCACGUAGGCGGAUAUUUAAAUCAGGGGUGAAAUCCCAGAGCUCAACUCUGGAACUGCCUUUGAUACUGGGUAUCUUGAGUAUGGAAGAGGUGAGUGGAAUUCCGAGUGUAGAGGUGAAAUUCGUAGAUAUUCGGAGGAACACCAGUGGCGAAGGCGGCUCACUGGUCCAUUACUGACGCUGAGGUGCGAAAGCGUGGGGAGCAAACAGGAUUAGAUACCCCAGUAGUCCCUGUCUCUUAUAC
RNAcentral lists this ribosomal RNA (301 nucleotides) under uncultured bacterium. RNAcentral's name for it is "partial 16S ribosomal RNA". It matches the Rfam family "Bacterial small subunit ribosomal RNA", at positions 509 to 807 of the family's 1533-position model. The record is from RNAcentral.